RNAcentral lists this long non-coding RNA (383 nucleotides) under Setaria italica (foxtail millet). RNAcentral describes it as "long non-coding RNA (SITA_LNC007207)". The record is from RNAcentral. Lineage: Eukaryota; Viridiplantae; Streptophyta; Magnoliopsida; Poales; Poaceae.
CUGCGCUUUCCUGCAUUUGAAGGGCAAACUCCAAGUUCCAGAGUACAUCCCCCAUAGAAGGACGGUCAAUGCCCUGAUCAGAAACACACUUCUCAGCUGUUUCAGCGAACUUCUUGAAACACUGCGGAGCAAUCUUUCCCUUCAGGUAGGGAUCAACAAUCUGAUCGAGAAUGCCCUUCUUCUGACAGUGCAAUGCCCACUCUGCCAAGCUAACUUCUUCCUUUGCAAGAGUAGGGUUCAAGGCAGGCCGUGCACAGAGGACCUCAAACAGCACAACACCGAAAGAGUAGACAUCAGAUUUCUCGGUGAGCUGCUGCCUGCGGAAGUAUUCAGGAUCAAGGUAACCAAAACUGCCCUUUACCACUGUGCUCACAUGAGUGUGG